Molecule: ribosomal RNA, 253 nt
Filed under: uncultured bacterium
Lineage: Bacteria
Description: partial 16S ribosomal RNA
Rfam family: Bacterial small subunit ribosomal RNA
Source: RNAcentral
UACGUAGGGGGCAAGCGUUAUCCGGAAUUACUGGGUGUAAAGGGAGCGUAGACGGUAAUGUAAGUCUGGAGUGAAAGGCGGGGGCCCAACCCCCGGACUGCUCUGGAAACUAUGUUACUAGAGUGCAGGAGAGGUAAGCGGAAUUCCUAGUGUAGCGGUGAAAUGCGUAGAUAUUAGGAGGAACACCAGUGGCGAAGGCGGCUUACUUGACUGUAACUGACGUUGAGGCUCGAAAGCGUGGGGAGCAAACAGG